CCGAAUUGACCGCUUCCUGUUACAGUAGUCUCCAUGAUAUAGCGUGGUUCUAAAUUGAAGCUCCGAUUCAUGCGGUAUCGCUCACGGCCGCUCACAGUAUUCUGCUCAUUUUAGUGGGGACUGAAUCAAGGCUAAGGUACAGGUCAUGAUAUCCUAACAGAAGUCUCUCCUCCCUAUCAAUUAAAAAACGAUACAAAGGCAUAAAAUAGAAUUUCUAGCAAUUAAAUCAAGAGAAACGUUCUAGGGAUAGAAGAAUUCGAUAAAAGAACAUUAAAGAGAAAAUUUCAGUGAAGAAAAACAUACAGAAUAAUGGCAUCAGAAGCAACGUCAAUAGUAGAGAAAACAAACGCCAUAAAAGAGAUAAUUUGCAAGAGUUACAAAUAGUGUUUAACUUCCUCUUCGUUUCGAAGAAAAUUACGCUUGUUUUCGUCGCCAGUGUUCGGAUGAAUCGACUAGGUGAAUCGGCUGGACAGGAAACGAAAGGUGUAUAGUUACAUCCUCUCGUUACCGUCCUCUUGCGUAAUGAGCCAGUAUUCGAUUCGCUGAUUGACGUAAUAAUGUGUUUGUCUAGCUCCUCGACACCGCAAAUAUCUGUCUAUCUCGCUUCGAAUGGAAAAGACUUGAUUUCUCGAAUUCUCGGCACGUGUGAUCAUAGAUGAUACUUGAAAUCACUUGAGACACUGAUGCACGAGGAUUUCGAGAAACGAACGGAUACAAAGGAAUUCGAUCAAUUGAUCAACAUUCUAGAAUUCGUAAGAUGAACUGGGAUAGAGAUCCAUCGAAUUUUCUUCCGCUUCAACGUUAAUCUUUAAUAGUAAAGAAAACCGAAGAUACGAAAGCUAAAUUACAAAUGAUAAUUUGACUUGAUUAAAAGACAUUUUGCAUACUACGAUAAAAACACAGAAACAGCUAAAUCAAGAAUAUAGGAUGUGAUCUCUCUGAUCCGAGCUCUUUGACUUUCCCGAUGUUGUCCAUAAUAUUAAUCAUUCGCUUGAUUGUUUUGUUACGCUUUUUUGUGUGCUUAGAAACCGAUUGCACGAUGUUGAACUAUUAUAAUAUUGGUUUCUGCCAAACUACGUCAUUUGAUGGCCAUAAAACUUCCUUGCGAAUUAUACUUUAAAAUAUUAGACAAACUGUCAUCUCCUCGUUCGUCGAAUAAGAUGAAUAAUCGCUAAACCUCCAAAUAAAAGUUUAAAUGCCACAUACGAAAGUAAAAAAAGGAAAAUAGAAAUAGAAGAUAAGUAUUAUCGCGUGCCUUGAUAUGGAAACGUCGCAAUUGGCGACUCUCCUAUCAAGCCAACUGAUGAUAAUUCGAUCGAACAAACGAUUAAGGUUUGUCUGGUGAUUUCUAAUCUAACAUAAAGAUGGAUAAGGAACAGUGUAGAACAGCUGUUCAAUAAAUAUCCACUCACGUCGACGAACGGAUAACUAUCAAAGAGAAAACUAUUCAAAACCGUGAGUUACCAUUAAAGGAAUUCGAUGGCCAUUUGAUACAUGCAAAAUGACGUUCCACUUGAACGUACUAGUUUAGAUCUGUACGAAUCUUCUAUUAUCCAAAUGACGAUGAGUUUCUUUGUUGAUAUCUUCAUAAUGAUAAGGACAACAAAUCAUUUGAUUUUGUCGCUGUUAUCAUUUUCUAAGAGGCAAUAUUUGGAGUUUGUUGUUGUCAACAAGGAUCACGUGCGUUCCUAUUUCUGGGAAAGGAAAAUAUAAUAAGAAAAGAUCGUUCAUGAUUUGGGUUUGGAUAGAUAGAGAUAUAAUGAUUCUUACAUGAAUUUCACAACUUUUACGAUAUCUUCCAUUUAUACCAAUAAUGCCACUCUUCUCUUCUUCUUGUAGAACACAUUUCUGUAUGAAGAAUAAAAAGUCAAAAGAAGAGUAAUUGUUUAGGUACGUUUGUGGGGACAAUCCUAUUCCAUAUGAAAUUCCAAGGGGAAUUCUUCAAGUAAAGGGAAAUUCCAGCAAUAAAAAAGCUUUGCUUGAGCAAAAGAAAAUGAAAAUCAAACCAGGAGAUGCUCAAUGUCUGUAGGUAUUAAAACCAAAUUAUAAAAAUCAAAUUUCAAAUGUAGAAAAUCUAUAAUUGGUAUAGUAAGUUAUUAAUCAAGAAAGGAAGAUGUAACAAAAAGGAGGAAAGAAAUGAAAUUGAUCUUCGACAAACAGUAAGUUACCGAUCAAAGCAGAUGAAUGAAUUCGAAAAAAAGAAGAGAAGAGAAAUGAAAAAAGGAUCAAGACAGGUGAGUUGUGAGCGUAUAUGAUUUACUUUCCCUCGUGGAAAGGUCAAGCUACGGUUUCGCGACCGGAGGCAGGACGAACUAUCGCCUUUUUCGGGUCAGCUCGCGAGAAGCAGUGAAUGUUUCGAAAGCGACAGGCGGCUGCAGAAUUUACAAGCGCUCGCGAUAUUAUUUUCAGUCACGGCUACCGAGAUGUUUUAUUCAUAACGCGUUUGACACAGUCUCUGCGCCCGCACGGAUUUUUUUUUCAAUCGGACGGAUCUCUCGUGGCCGUCUUCCCUAUCUUCGAUACAUUUCUGAUAUCCACGUCGAUAAAACAACAGUCUGAUAACGUUCUCAUCGGUGAUUAUUCAGAAGAUUUGACAACUGGCUCCAUUAAUCAAUAAUAUAGGAUUCCAAUGAGAUUCCGGAGGAUUCUGCAAGGAAUUAAAAGUGCGAAAUUUAAAAACUAUUGUCUAAUAGCUUGGAAAUGAAGUAAUUUCGAAGGAUAUAGAAAUAAGUUUUUGUGGAAAUUUAAAGAUAAAAAUAAUAUUCGCUAGACUCAGUUUAGAAAUUUUUGAAGUUCUAGUUAGUUGUUUCUUUAAAAAAUCUUCUUGAAGAAGAGAUGGCUCGAGGGAUUUCUCAGACAUUGAAUUAUUAAUUAUAGCCAGCUUGACCGUAUCAUAGACAUCUGAAAUAAGAACCAAGAAUAAAUAAACAUUGGCCUUUAUCUGUUCUUAUCUCCUUCUGGAUCAAUUCAUGGAUUUACAUGACUGGACAAUAUUCGUCUAUUCCGUAACAGUUAAAUAUCACUGAAUUCUUCUACUCGUUUUUCUGGGUCACCUUCCACGUAGAAAGUGUGACAGAUACAGGUGCCGCAUUAGAAUUAGACUCGGUACUCAAUAAAUAUACAAUUCCUAUAUUUUACAAAAACAUUCAACAAAUUUUAGUAUAUCUUUCAAUUAUAUAUGGUCGAAGAUACUUUUCUGAAUUUCACACGAUAUAAAUCAUACAAAUUGUAAAAGGCUUUUCGCAAAUACCUUGUGACAAUCGUGAUCGAUAUUCCUAGGAAAAAUUUCCUUAAAGCUGAUGUUUAUCUCAUCUGCAGGAUUGACUCUCAGCGAAUGUACAGAAUAUUUUCCACACUUCACGUUUCCACAACGUCGAAAGAGUUUCCUCGCGUGUGAAAAUAUACGAAUACAACUAUUGCCGCACAGAAUCUUCAUUGUAAACAAGAAAUACGCUGGUUCGCAUAACUGGUUCCGUAGCUCGUAAAUAAGAAACUGACUGUGUGCUUGACAUCGAUUGCAAGACUGUGAACACGUUGCAUGGUUUUAUCGCGUGGCAAUUUUUCGAUAAUUUUUUUGAUUCGCCGAACACCUUCUGAGAACUAGAUUCUUAUCAGAUGACAAGAGAUCGCGGUGUCUAGCGCGAACAAUAUAAACUACUAAGCUUUGUUGAGUGACAACUGAAUGAAAAACCUAUACAAAUAAACCUUUAUCUUUGUUGUUUCUUUUUCCUGAGAACCACUUGUCUUAAAAACAAUCGUCCUGCUCUGGAGUAAAAGAUAACACAACGAGUAAUUGGACAACUUUGUUGUUCCCCGCUUCUAAACGUACAACUUGUAAAGAAAAGUUCUCGUUACAUAAACGAAGAACGAUUUUAGUAGCUGUCAGAAAUUGGAAAGAUUGUAAUUAAAGAGGUUUAUGUCUAUAAAAUACAUUCUUACAGAAAAGACCUCCAGAGUCUCAACAAUCCAAUAAAGUUCUCAAAAACGAUGAAUAGCGCAGACAGAAAAUGAUCUUCGUCUCCCACCCGUACAAGUAUACUGUACCAUGUGGCGCGUUAAAAAUAUCCAAAAUGCCUCCUACUUGAUUUCAUCAGGCUCACAUAUACACACGCGAUAUCUUAGGUUUAUUUAAACUCCUCCUGCUUGAAACGCAUCCUCUCCUAUGUACUCAUCGAAACAAUAAACUGCUGCUUCACUUUCACUGGAAUUCUAUUUUUCCUGCUUCUCUUGUGUCACUUUGCGACUUCAGAAACUCGCUGGACGCUUCUUUCUGUAAUUACAAACUUUUCAGAAAAUAGAACGAAGGCAAAGCAAUAUUUAUGAGCCAUUAGCGAUGACGACUCUGUUUCGAAUCUCGUGGAUGAAAUCGCGCGCCUCACACUCUGACGAUGAUAAUCAGUAUAGCAAGUAUACCGCGGCUGACACUGGCCGAUAGAACCCUUGGAAACCGACGCUACCGACUGACUAACCGCUAUCACUGAUUCCAACUGAGCUGACUGACUGUCUGAUCCCUGUUACCGCGGCCAGUCGAAUGCUGGCUGCCUGGAGAGAUAUCUUGCACCUUUACAGCUGAAUGCACGCCAGCACAGAAUAGAACGAUAUUUAAAAGUAAAAGUUCCGUGCCGGUUCUUUGAACACCUUCGGGAUGCGUUGUCUUCUUUGUGAUUCUCGACGACGAAGAUCUUGUGAAGGAAAUUGAAGAUACGUUUAGUGGAAAAUAAAAUUACUGAAGAGAUCGCAGGUGUAACAUGAGAGUUUAGAAGAAAUAUCUUCGAAGAACUGUAUGAUUGUUUAGAAAGUUUGAUUUAAAUCGGGAGUGUAGAUUUAUGUAAUAAACAGAUCCAGUUUCUUGUCUAAACGAUGAAUCUUCCACGUGCUCGAGGAAAGGUGUUUAUGAACCGUGGUGUUUAUGAACCGUGGAUUUUUACAUCAAUGUUGGUGUUUUUAGAACAUCGUUUUUUUUAAAUACCAGUUGAAUCAUGAAAAACAUCUCGGUAGAACAUCUACGAAUGUUCUUGUAUUGACCCAGUAACUUUGUCCAAUAUGAAUUCUUCGAGAUAAAUUUAGGAAUGAGGAAAAUAGUGACUAUAAGAGAUACGUUCCAUUCGACUAUGUCUUGGCAUAGAGCGAACAUCGAUUGCACCUACGCAAAGAAUGCACAAAGCGAGCGUACACGUGCAUAACACGGUUUGUAAACUCGAUGAUCCGUAUGUUGAAUGAGUAGGUAGAUAAAGAUAAGUAUGCACAUUUGUACGUACAAAGGAAAGGCAUGCAUAACAGAUUCCAAGAGAAAAGAACGCGUAAAAGAACGUUUCUCCAGCUGCCACAUUCUUGCGUCCUUCGUCGACAGGAAUAACAAUUUGUAAUCAUCGAAGAUGCCACGCUUUACUUAUCUUCGAAAAUAUAUCGAUUUCCUAAAAAUAUUUCAAAUUCUUUAUCUCUCUUACGGCAGAACAAUCAAUCCUCUCAACAAAGUUCAAAAAAAGGAAGAAAAAGGAGACAAAUGCAGAUUAAAAACAGGAGAAUGAAAUAUUGUUGAAGAGAUAUAAACAAAUGGAAAAAGUUGAUGUCUGUGCAGGCACAUUGUCAGUUCAUUAAAGUUUCCUACAUACUGAGACGAAUUCCAUUCCUCUCGACGAAUGAAUAGUCCGUUUGUUCGCAAACUGGAGCACAAGAAGCAUGGCGUUGCGUAAGAUAAAUUACGUGUUUGUUCACAGAAACGACAAUGUAUUGGUAGUGAUGAUGUGUCGCGAAAAACAUAGUCUUUUUCCUUCGGUCUAACAUUGAAAUAUUUAUACACCUGGAAUGGAAGUAUGUCAAAAUGACGAAGAUAGAACAAUGGGUUUCCAUAAAUUCUAUUUAUUGAUUUUUCACUUUUUCUCUUCUGCAAUUUAUAUUUUUCGCAAAACAGCUCCAACUAUUGGUAUAUAACGUACAACCUUCUUUAAAAAUCAGUUAUGGCGUAGAAACAAAUUUAAAAUCGGGCAUCAUUUUGUUUCUUGAAGUAGUACAAUAUUGUGUGUUUAUCAGAACAUUAAGAUGAAAAAUAA
Molecule: long non-coding RNA, 6050 nt
Organism: Bombus huntii
Lineage: Eukaryota; Metazoa; Arthropoda; Insecta; Hymenoptera; Apidae
Exons: 2
Source: RefSeq, a predicted model, not a curated record